GCCUAAAUAGCUCAGUCGGUAGAGCGCACAGCUCUGGACCAUGACUUAAUCCAGAAGGUUGUGGGUUUGAUUCCCACCUCUGCCA
This is a non-coding RNA of Xenopus laevis (African clawed frog), 85 nucleotides long. Lineage: Eukaryota; Metazoa; Chordata; Amphibia; Anura; Pipidae. The record is from Rfam.